This 417-nucleotide ribosomal RNA is filed under the name uncultured bacterium. Its description in RNAcentral is "bacterial SSU rRNA". It matches the Rfam family "Bacterial small subunit ribosomal RNA", at positions 506 to 922 of the family's 1533-position model. The record is from RNAcentral.
UGCCAGCAGCCGCGGUAAUACGUAGGUCCCGAGCGUUGUCCGGAUUUAUUGGGCGUAAAGCGAGCGCAGGCGGUUUGAUAAGUCUGAAGUUAAAGGCUGUGGCUCAACCAUAGUUCGCUUUGGAAACUGUCAAACUUGAGUGCAGAAGGGGAGAGUGGAAUUCCAUGUGUAGCGGUGAAAUGCGUAGAUAUAUGGAGGAACACCGGUGGCGAAAGCGGCUCUCUGGUCUGUAACUGACGCUGAGGCUCGAAAGCGUGGGGAGCGAACAGGAUUAGAUACCCUGGUAGUCCACGCCGUAAACGAUGAGUGCUAGGUGUUGGAUCCUUUCCGGGAUUCAGUGCCGCAGCUAACGCAUUAAGCACUCCGCCUGGGGAGUACGACCGCAAGGUUGAAACUCAAAGGAAUUGACGGGGGCCC